Cryptomeria japonica (Japanese cedar) is the source of this 522-nucleotide long non-coding RNA. RefSeq lists it as uncharacterized. The record is from RefSeq and is a predicted model, not a curated record. Lineage: Eukaryota; Viridiplantae; Streptophyta; Pinopsida; Cupressales; Cupressaceae. The transcript has 3 exons.
AUAACCCUGAGCAUUUUCUAGUUCAAUUAGAUCACAGACCCUCCACAAAUCAUCUUUCUUCAUUUUCCGGAGCUUAUCCUUCAAUUUCAAUUUUGAAACCUGCAAAACAUUCCUCUUAAAAUGAUAAGCCUCCUGCAAAACAUUCCUCUUAAAAUGAUAAGCCUUUCCACGCCUUCAAUAAAGAAGAUUGUGAAUGAUUGCCAGCAUUUCAUCACCUCUGGUCGAUCCAACGGAGUAGUAGGCGUUGAAAGUAAAUCCUCGGUUUUCUCAGAGUAAAUCCUCGGUUUUCUCUUCUCUGAAUUCUUCAGCCAUAUUGAGAUUCGAACCUGUGACUUAAGGUUCAAACCCUGGAAUUAAAUACCUCUUAUAGCUUCGUUCAAUGAAUCGGCAUCAAAUAUGGACAUGAACUCAAAAUUUCCAUUCAUGGCACUGACAUUGGAUUCAUGGGUGGUCUCAUUUCUCAUGCUGGUAUUAGCACUUGUCACAGGCCAUUGACAACAGAGGAUUACUGAGCUGCAUCAU